AGGUGCUUUCCUAUGAUAAAGGGACAGUCAACUAUCUCACUAACACAAGCAGGUUUUUGCUUUGACUACAUCUCAUUUCCCUGUUCCACUACCUGUCCGGUAGCCCUUCUUGCUAAACUUCUCAGGACCUUUAGCUGUUCAUUUCGAGAUUCUGGCACAAGGUAUGUAGAUCCUGCAAGGAUGACCAGCAGAAAAGGUGGUUCCAAACUGGAGCAUGACUAAAAAGUCAAUCACAUUCAGACCAAUGACUCACCAAGACCCUGGGGCUCCAGGGCGUGACUGACUUAUGGAGGACACCUGAGCACCCUCCUCAUUUUGACCAGUUCCUAGAUGCCUCAGAGGACACAUACACCAGACCACCAUCCUCAAUAAAAAUCCCAGACCCAAAGCAAAAACAAGACUCCAUCUCCUUUCCUUUCUGAGUCUCCCAGAUGUUGUCUGUACCUAC
Long non-coding RNA from Neofelis nebulosa (Clouded leopard), 448 nucleotides. RefSeq lists it as uncharacterized. The transcript is spliced from 3 exons. NCBI's taxonomy places the organism in Eukaryota, Metazoa, Chordata, Mammalia, Carnivora, Felidae. The record is from RefSeq and is a predicted model, not a curated record.